ACGGAAGGCAGCAGUGGGGAAUAUUGCACAAUGGGCGAAAGCCUGAUGCAGCGACGCCGCGUGAGUGAAGAAGUAUCUCGGUAUGUAAAGCUCUAUCAGCAGGGAAGAAAAUGACGGUACCUGACUAAGAAGCCCCGGCUAACUACGUGCCAGCAGCCGCGGUAAUACGUAGGGGGCAAGCGUUAUCCGGAUUUACUGGGUGUAAAGGGAGCGUAGACGGUUUGGCAAGUCUGAAGUGAAAUGCGGGGGCUCAACUCCUGAACUGCUUUGGAAACUGUCGAACUAGAGUGCAAGAGAGGUAAGUGGAAUUCCUAGUGUAGCGGUGAAAUGCGUAGAUAUUAGGAGGAACACCAGUGGCGAAGGCGGCUUACUGGACUGUAACUGACGUUGAGGCUCGAAAGCGUGGGGAGCAAACAGGAUUAGAUACCCUGGUA
RNAcentral lists this ribosomal RNA (434 nucleotides) under uncultured Lachnospiraceae bacterium. RNAcentral describes it as "partial 16S ribosomal RNA". It matches the Rfam family "Bacterial small subunit ribosomal RNA", at positions 341 to 792 of the family's 1533-position model. Lineage: Bacteria; Bacillati; Bacillota; Clostridia; Lachnospirales; Lachnospiraceae. The record is from RNAcentral.